UAUGAAGAACCUUACCAGGUCUUGACAUCCUUUGACCACUCUAGAGAUAGAGCUUUCCCUUCGGGGACAAAGUGACAGGUGGUGCAUGGUUGUCGUCAGCUCGUGUCGUGAGAUGUUGGGUUAAGUCCCGCAACGAGCGCAACCCUUAUUGUUAGUUGCCAUCAUUUAGUUGGGCACUCUAGCGAGACUGCCGGUGCCAAACCGGAGGAAGGUGGGGAUGACGUCAAAUCAUCAUGCCCCUUAUGACCUGGGCUACACACGUGCUACAAUGGGAAGUACAACGAGUCGCUAGACCGCGAGGUCAUGCAAAUCUCUUAAAGCUUCUCUCAGUUCGGAUUGCAGGCUGCAACUCGCCUGCAUGAAGCCGGAAUCGCUAGUAA
RNAcentral lists this ribosomal RNA (380 nucleotides) under Enterococcus faecalis. RNAcentral describes it as "bacterial SSU rRNA". It matches the Rfam family "Bacterial small subunit ribosomal RNA", at positions 960 to 1341 of the family's 1533-position model. Lineage: Bacteria; Bacillati; Bacillota; Bacilli; Lactobacillales; Enterococcaceae. The record is from RNAcentral.